GACGAACGCUGGCGGCGUGCUUAACACAUGCAAGUCGAACGGAAAGGCCCUGCGUUUGUGGGGUGCUCGUUUGGCGAACGGGUGUGUAACACGUGAGUAACCUCCCCUUGACUUUGGGAUAACUUCAGGAAACUGGGGCGAAUACCGGAUAGGAGCUCCUGCUGCAUGGGGGGGGAUGGAGAGUUUCGGCGGUUGUGGAUGGACUCGCGGCAUAUCAGCUUGUUGGGGGGGUAGUGGCUUACCAAGGCUUUGAGGGGUAGCCGGCCUGAGAGGGUGACCGGCCACAUUGGGACUGAGGUACGGCCCAGACUCCUACGGGAGGCAGCAGGGGGGAAUAUUGCCCAAUGGGCGGAAGCCUGAUGCAGCAACGCCGCGUGCGGGAAGACGGCCUUCGGGUUGUAAACCGAUUUCGCCUGUGACGAAGCGUGAGUGACGGUAAUGGGUAAAGAAGCACCGGCUAACUACGUG
RNAcentral lists this ribosomal RNA (468 nucleotides) under uncultured bacterium. Its description in RNAcentral is "partial 16S ribosomal RNA". It matches the Rfam family "Bacterial small subunit ribosomal RNA", at positions 28 to 507 of the family's 1533-position model. The record is from RNAcentral.